This 2771-nucleotide long non-coding RNA is filed under the name Salmo salar (Atlantic salmon). RNAcentral's name for it is "lncRNA (ENSSSAG00000093149.1)". Lineage: Eukaryota; Metazoa; Chordata; Actinopteri; Salmoniformes; Salmonidae. The record is from RNAcentral.
UUUAUCGUUAAAGUGAUCAACCUUGGUGUGGAUGGCCCUUUACUCAACUAACUACUACACUAGCUAGCGUUAUCUAAGUAACGUAGCUAGCUAGCAACAGUAACUAACGUUAAUUAACGCUAGCUGUCUUUUAGCUAAAUGCUGCGCGUUGUUGUUUACAUUACAGAUAACGUUAGUUAACUAAUGUUUAACUAUGUAAAGUUUCCACCAGUGCAAUCGCUAAUUAGCUAACGUUAUAAGUUCAAUCAGGUGAAUAAUACAAUUCAAAGUGGUAGCUACUAAGCUAGCUAGCCAGCCAGCCGCUGCUGCUGCUAGCACACUAGCUAGAUACUUUUACUUCAUUCAAUGUUGUUAACAUAGCUUGCUAAACUAGCUGAGUCACUGUCGGGCCCGGUCUUGCCACUAAAAGUAGUCACUAAAUGAGACAAUUCAGUAAAAAACGGGUGAACAAUAGUAACGUAUGGAAAUAUAAUGAAUUUACCCUCGGCUGGGAAUUCUUCAAACUCAUCGUCCUCCUCUAAUAAUCCCAAAUCCACAGUCUGUUUCUUGUCUGACAUGUUUGCUAUCUUUUCGUUGCGCGUCGUUGUGACGGAUCGGAUUUCCAGUGAGGGUAGUUAUGGGAUAGUGGUGGUAGUGCGCAUUGGCAGAGAGUGUUCCGCAAACACAAUGAAGCCGUCCACAUCACCUACGCUCCACUGACUGAAGCCAGGGUCUUCUUCUUCUUCUUUGACUGAAGCCAGGGUCAGUGCUAUCCGGAAUCCUUGGGACGUUCCUAACCUUAAACCUUACCCUAACAAUUACCUUACCCUAACCCUAACCCUUUUACAUGUAAACUUCAAUGGAGUAGCGACCUCCCAAGGAUUCCGGAUUCGGACCCUGAAGCCGGCCAGGUGGCUCUGUCCUGCGUUCCUCCACCGCCCCAGGCCAUGGCCUCUAAAGCACUCCUCUGGGACCCCACCAGAGAACCAGAGAACCAGCGACCCAGAGGACCAGAGAACCAGAGACCCAGAGACCCAGAGGACCAGAGACCCAGAGAACCAGAGACCCAGAGACCCAGAGACCCAGAGGACCAGAGACCCAGAGGACCAGAGACCCAGAGAACCAGAGAACCAGAGACCCAGAGACCCAGAGGACCAGAGACCCAGAGACCCAGAGACCCAGAGACCCAGAGACCCAGAGACCCAGAGACCCAGAGACCCCAGAGACCAAGAGACCAAGAGACCCAGAGAACCAGAGGACCAGAGAACCAGGAAAAGUUACCGACAACCCUCCACCUCCCCACCACCAUCACCAGCUAAGACCCAUCACUGGAACUCCUUUCUCCCAGCGCGGGGGAUUCGAUUCCAGCUGACCCUCAUAGGACUACCUGCCAAAACAGCAUCUGGCUCCGAGCUCGGAGAUGAGGCCAUUCCCCAAACUAUUUCAUAUUGCAUUUUGCCUCUAUUGUUCAUUCAGUUAAUGAACGAUAAAGCCUUAAACUCGAUUGAACAUAUCAUGUUUAGUCCAGUUAACCCACCUCUAUAAAGAGGAAUAUUAGACUGUAUAUUAAUGUAUUGUCAUCUCCAUCCAUUUUGUUGUGGCUUAUGUAUUUUAGGAACAUGUAUAUUUAGCAUUUUACUGAAACAUUGGGAUAUGUAAAAAUAAGACUAUUUCUCCUAGAAUGAAAACAAUAAAUGCAUUUUGCAAUCAAAGCCAUGGUAACUUUAAUUCAGCUUUCAAAACAUUGGCCAUGAGUAAACCCCUUGUUCAAAAUGCAGUUUCAGGUAGGUGUUUUGGGGGGCGGUGUAGACAAUAGUUAGGAAAUAUAAUCUGACAACUCCUGCAUUGUGGCUUUUAUGAGAACCAUGGCAGUCCAGUGAAUGAGUUGGGCUGUCAGUCACAGUGCACAUGACCAGGUGUGAACAUUUUUUCCUUUUCUUUUUUCCGCCUCAGGUCACUCUGUGCUCUUAAAUUACAUGUUCCUUUUGUUAUAGGCAUAAAUGCAUUGUGUGUGCCACUUCCUCAAUGGUUCCCACUUUAGUCAGUGCAAGUUCUCUUGUUUAAGCAAAUGUAGGUCAAUUUGCUCAAAUUUGAUUGUGAAUUGUGUUUUCUGCUAUGUGCAACUCCUGUUCUGUUGCAUCAAGGAUUUUAAUUUCUCUCAAUUUUGUUGAAAUAUUUUUCAUUUUCGAUGUUAUUCAAAUGUAAGCCUUUCCUAACCACAGGAAUAUUCCUUAUUUUACUUUUUAGAAAAGCAUUGUAGGCUCCUUUUUUUCUGAAAAUAUACAGAAAUGCGAUUCUCAUAGUAAUUUUGCAUAACGGUCUGUUAGCCGUCAUCCUCUCUACUGAAUAGUGUAAUAUGUUUAUGUUCCGUACUGUAUGCCACAUAUAUCAUUAGGUCUGAGGUUUUUUACAUUACAUCUGUUCACUUAUCCCUUCUAGUGGUUACAACGUGAUGUAGAUGACUUUACCCACAACAGCGUGGUGCAGGCUAGAGGAUUUUACCCACCAGCCGACAUGCAUGCAAGCAACUCAGUCAUAUCAGAAUUUAGCUCAAUUCUGAUUAUGAUGAAAAAGUGAUUAUGAUAACUUUCUAGUGAGAAUUUAAAGGUUUUAAAUGUUUUUUGUUGUUGUUUUUUUACCUGCCCAGCAACUGUGAAUUGGGCCUAGUUUUUGUUUUAUAAAACUACAGCACACUGAUGUGAAAACUGAAAUGUUGAUUUAUUUAUGUGCACUAUCCCAGUCCCCAUCAACUAAAUUGCAUAAAUAUGUUUCAUAGUUUCCAUAUCCCUCUU